CUCAUCUAAUCAGAUUUGCAGCAGAGGGGAUGGAGGGCGGGUCGCGGAAUGCAGAUAAGGACCACACAUCUCAAAGAACCACCAGUGACAGUCAAAGCCAGUGCACACCUGAUGUUGAGGGAAUGAAGUCUCUUCUCUUCAUGUGAUGCAUAGGGUUUCAGAAAAAGGACAGGUUUUCUGAAAGGCUGAAGCAGGGGAGGAUACUGGAUUCAAACUCAGGCCAUCUGACGACAUUAUCUAACUCUUUCUGUAGCUGUUACAAACUGCAUUGCAGAUCCAAUCACUGCUGUGCUGGCCACUAGGACAGCUUUGCCAACCAUUCAUCAACACUGCGUGAUUCCCCCCAGCACGUCAAACAUUGACCCAAGUGCAUAACAAUGUAUUCAGCAUCUGUGUUAGAUCUUAGGUCAAUAUUUUUUACACAGUUGGAUUGAUUUGAAUUGCCGGGGGAUGCUGGUGACACACAUCACCAGUACGGGCAUCAGCGCAGCUUAGACGGACUCCUGAUCAAACCAGGGCUCUAGAAAGCUCCUGGGCUAAAUUCCUCCCAUCUUCCCUUUCUCAUUUGAAUCAACUUAUGGUAGCAAUAACAUCUGGAAUGGAUCUGUUUCAUUUUUGAUACUGGUUACCUCAAUUUAAUGUGCACUUUUGAUUUUAAAAAAUGGGCCAGUUCUCAGGGGGCAUAAAGUGAUGCAGCUUCAUUAAAUUCAAUGGCCAAUUUACACCAUUCGGCAUUUUGAGCCCAUUGACUUCAAUGGGACUGUGCUGAUUACAUUGAAACCAGUAAGACUAAAUCCCCUUUCAGUGAGGUUCAUCGAUUCCAAGGCCAGAAGACCUCCAAUAGUACACAGGUCAGAGAACUUCCCUAAAAUAAUUCCUUUGAACUAGAGCAUAAGUUUCAGAAAAACAUCCAAUCUUGAUUGAAAAGUUGCCGGUGAAGGAUAAUCCAACAUGACGCUGGGUCGAUGUUGAGCUGACUGACACCAGCAGGGGGUCUGGUCCCACUGCUACAAUGAGAUCCAAUUGCUUUACACUGGCAGAGGAUCUGGCCUUCCUGGCUUCCAUGGGGCGGCACGCAUCCUGCUGGCUAAGGAACUGGCGGAAGAUGUUCAGCAGCAUGGCAGCAGGUAUUCCAUUCCUGAC
This is a long non-coding RNA of Mauremys mutica (yellowpond turtle), 1143 nucleotides long. RefSeq lists it as uncharacterized. Lineage: Eukaryota; Metazoa; Chordata; Testudines; Geoemydidae. The record is from RefSeq and is a predicted model, not a curated record. The transcript has 3 exons.